AUACGGAGGGGGCUAGCGUUGUUCGGAAUUACUGGGCGUAAAGCGCGUGUAGGCGGAUCGUUAAGUCAGGGGUGAAAGCCCGGAGCUCAACUCCGGAAUUGCCCUUGAUACUGGCGAUCUAGAGGCCGGGAGAGGUAAGCGGAAUUCCCAGUGUAGAGGUGAAAUUCGUAGAUAUUGGGAGGAACACCAGUGGCGAAGGCGGCUCACUGGCCCGGUUCUGACGCUGAGACGCGAAAGCGUGGGGAGCAAACAGGAUUAGAAACCCUAGUAGUCC
RNAcentral lists this ribosomal RNA (274 nucleotides) under uncultured bacterium. RNAcentral describes it as "partial 16S ribosomal RNA". It matches the Rfam family "Bacterial small subunit ribosomal RNA", at positions 523 to 796 of the family's 1533-position model. The record is from RNAcentral.